Molecule: ribosomal RNA, 401 nt
Filed under: uncultured bacterium
Lineage: Bacteria
Description: bacterial SSU rRNA
Rfam family: Bacterial small subunit ribosomal RNA
Source: RNAcentral
AACGAACGCUGGCGGCAUGCCUAACACAUGCAAGUCGAACGAAGUCUUCGGACUUAGUGGCGCACGGGUGCGUAACGCGUGGGAAUCUGCCCUUGGGUGCGGAAUAACUUCUCGAAAGGGAUGCUAAUACCGCAUAAUGUCGUAAGACCAAAGAUUUAUCGCCCAAGGAUGAGCCCGCGUAAGAUUAGCUAGUUGGUGGGUAAAAGCCUACCAAGGCGACGAUCUUUAGCUGGUCUGAGAGGAUGAUCAGCCACACUGGGACUGAGACACGGCCCAGACUCCUACGGGAGGCAGCAGUGGGAAUAUUGGACAAUGGGCGAAAGCCUGAUCCAGCAAUGCCGCGUGAGUGAUGAAGCCCUAGGUUGUAAGCUCUUUACCUAGGAGUGAUAAUGACAGUACCU